GGGGAAGAGGUGCUGGGGAUGCGGUAGGGAGGCCACUCCUCUCCCAUCGGUCCAUCUUCUCCAUCAUCUGAUCCAUCGCUGAACCGAUCCGGUGGAGAAUGCUGGUAUGAUGGAGGACCCUUUCCUCCAUCGAUGGGAGAGGAGGUGCGGCUGCUCCUGCUGACUCCAUAAUCGGGUGCAGGAUUCUGUCACGAUUGCUAGGAGUGGUGGUAGGAGUCAGGCGCAGAGAACAGAGGUAAGAAAAAUGAGUUUUAUUUUUCUCUGGUUUGACAACGGUCGACGCCAACACAACAGGCGUGAGAACUACGUGCCCAACCCAUACACAACGGGUCCACAGUUCGGAAAGAAAAAUAACUCAAGCAGAUCGCCAGCACAUCCAAAAAAAAGCACACUGACAAAAAUAAUCCCGCACAAACCUGGGCAGGCUAAACAGGCUUAAAUAACCACAAAUCAAGAUACACAAAUAAGGAACAGGUGCAAACAAUAAGACAUACCAACCGAAAGGAAAAAGGGAUCAGCGGCGGCUAGCGACGACGACCGCCGAGCGCCGCCCGAGCAGGCAGGGGAGCCACCUUCGGUGGGAUUCGUGACAGAGCAUUUCUCCUUUGCCAAGAUAAUACAUCCACCUGUCAGUUGUGGCAUAUCAAGAAGCUGAUUGAACAGCAUGACCAUUACACGGGUGCACCUUGUGCUGGGAACAAUAAAGGCCACUCUAAAAUGGGUAGUUUUGUCACACAACACAACGCCAACGUGCAAUUGACAUGCUGACUGCAGCAAUGUCCACCAGAGCUAUUGCCAGAGAAUUGAAUGUUAAUUUCUCUACCAUAAGCCGCCUCCAAUGUCGUUUUAGAGAAUUUGGCAGUGCGUCCAACCGGUCUCACAACCACAGACCACGUGUAACCAUGCCACCCCAGGACCUCCACAUCCGGCUUCUUCACCUGCGGGAUCCUCUGAAACCAGCCACCAGUACAGCUGAUGAAACUGAGGAGCAUUUCUGUCUGUAAUAAAGCCAUUUUGUGGGGUAACCAUGGAUGCGCCACUGCCCAGUUAUGUGAAAUCCAUAGAUUAGGGCCUAAUGAUUUAUUUAAAUUGGCUGAUUUCCUUAUAUGAACUGUAACUCAGUAAAAUCGUUGAAAUUGUUGCAUGUUGCAUUUAUAUUUUUGGUCAGUAUAGAUUAUCAAUAGUUACAUGUACACUGAGUAUACCAAACAUUAGGAACACCUUCCUAAUAUUCGUUUGGGCAUGGACUCCACAAGGUGUCGAAAGCGUUCCACAGGGAUGCUGGCCCAUGCUGACUCCAAUGCGUCCCACAGUUGUGUCAAGUUGGCUGGAUGUUAUUUGGGGGGUGGACCAUUCUUGAUACACAUGGGAAACUGUUGAACCCAGCAGCAUUGCAGUUCUUGACACAAACCGGUGCGACUGGCACAACAACUCCAUUAUGCUGAUCCUCAACACAGGGGCACCACAAGGGUGUGUGCUCAGCCCCCUCCUGUACUCCCUGUUCACCCAUGACUGUGUGGCCACACAUGCCUCAACUCAAUCAUCAAGUUUGCAAUGACACAACAGUAGUAGGCCUAAUUACCAACAAUUACAAGACAUCCUAGAGGGAGAGGGUGAGGGCCCUGGCAAAGUGGUUCCAGGAAAAUAACUUCUCCCUCAACGUCAACAAAAUGAAGGAGCUGACUUCAGCAGACAACAGAGAGAGCAUGCCUCUAUUCACAUCGACGGGACCGCAGUUGAGAAGAUAUACAAUUGAGAGCAUCCUGUCGGGCUUUAUCACCAUCUUGUACGGCAACUGCACCACCCGCAACCCCAGGGCUCUCCAGAGAGUGGUGUGGCCUGCCCAACACAUCACCAGGGGUACACUGCCUGCUCUCCAGGACACCUACAUCACCCGAUGUCACAGCAAGGGCAAAAAGAUCAUCGAGGACAUCAACCACCCGAGCCACGGACUGUUCACCCCGCUAUCAUCCAGAAGUUGAGGUCAGUACAGGUGCAUCAAAGCUGGGGCAGAGAGACUGAAAAACAGCUUCUAUCUCAAGGCCAUCAGACUGUUAAAUAGUCAUCACUAGCCCACUACCACCCGGUUACUCAAACCUGCACCAUAGAGGCUGCUGCCCUAUAUACAUAGACAUAGAAAAACUGGUCACUUUAAAUGGAACACUAGACACUUUAAUAAUGUUUACAUACUGCUUUACUCAUUUCAUAUGUAUAUGCCGUAUUCUAUUCCACUGUAUUUUAGUCAAUGCCACUCCGAUGAUGCUCGCCCUAAUAUUUAUAUAUUUCUUAAUUCCAUUCUUUUAGAUUUGUGUGUAUUAUUGUGAAUUGUUAGAUAUUACUGCACUGUUGGAGCUAAGAACACAAGCAUUUCGCUACGCCCCAAUAACGUCUGCUAAAUAUGUAUAUGUGACCAAUACAAUUUGAUUUGGUUUGACACAAUCCAUGUCACAAUUGUCUCAAGGCUUAAAAAAUCUUAUUUAACCUGUUUCCUCCCCAUCAUCUACACUGAUUGAAGUGGAUUUAACAAGUAACAGUCUAUGUCAUGGAAAGAGCAGGUGUUCCUAAUGUUUUGUAUAGUCAUUGUAUACAGUAUCUUGUGAUGGUAUUCCAUUGCUACAAAACAUGAAUGAGGCUUUUUAGAGCAUGCUAGCAAGGAAUGUGCCACUAUGGAUUACUUUCUAGGAAUCUAUAAACGAAUGCAUAGCACUCUCCAACACACAAUUAUUAUCCUUGAUAUGUUUUCCACUUCUUUAUUCAAGUCACUCAAGAUCCAUCUAUUAAACUCAAUCUGUUUGUAAAUUACGUACUUAGAUCGAUUAGUAAAGACAGGCUUCUUGUCUUAUCUGUGUUAAUGUGAACUAUGACCUCAGAUCCUAAAGUCUUGGGAAGAUAUGAUGUAGCCUAGGUAGGGCUGGGACCAGGGUUGAGUAAGACUAGAUGUCCGUACUAACAUUUACAGUCUAAAGAUAAGCAGACCUUUGCAGAGGACCACCUAGCAAUCCUAUUGGCUAGAGCAGGAUAACACAGAUGCUCAGUUCAACCUGCUCAUUAGGCAUGCUUGGAAAGAGUAGUGAAAUAUCCUACUCGUGAAGAAGUACUAUUAUUUUAAUUAAAUUUGACUCAAGUAGAAGUAAAAUUACUGGUGUAAAAAAACUACUCAAGUAAAAGUAAAAAGUACUCAGAGUAAAAGUAAUUGAGUUAGUUUUAAAAUAAAAAUAUUGACCUUCAUAAUUAGCUAAUUUCGCUAAUGUUACCUGAAUGUUGUUACACAUGAUCUUUUCCAUGCGUAACAUUUUUAAAAGGAAAAGAGGAAAUGAACUACGUUAAUUUAUUUUAUGAGUUGCAACAAGGCACAUCUGUAUGUAAAAAAAAUAAGGAUUUGUUAAAAAUAUACUUUUAACAUUUGAAAAUAAAUUAAACAUAAAAUCUAUUGAUAAAUAAAAAGCAAUACAAAAUUAAGUGAAUAAAUAAUAAUGUUGCCAGACUUCAAUAUAUUUCAGACUAUUUUUCAGAAACUUCAAUAUAUUUCAGAAAUAAACAUUUCAAAUUCUUUCACCCAUUCAAUUCCUCAUUCACCCCUCUUUUACUCAUUACUUGUCCAUGUGACCAACUGACAUUCACUCACUCACCCAUUCACCCUCACUCACUCAGUCCCUCUUUCCUCACUAACUCACUCACUGACUCAAGAAACCCCUCUUUCACUUACUCACCAGGGGUGGAAAGAGUACGGUAAUAUCCUACUCAAGUAGAAGUACUGUUACUUUAAUGAAAUUUGACUCAAGUAGAAGUAACACUACUGAUUUGGAAAAAUACUGAAAAAACCUCAAGCAGAAAAGCUACUCAAUUACAGUAACGAGAGUAGUUAUUUAGUUACUUUACACCUCAGUCGUUAGGACACCUCAACUCACCUUCUUGUGGCGAGGCACUUUGGCCGUCCUCAGCCCGGAUUUAAGGCCUCACUGUAAGGAUGAAGAGGCCACUCCCCUGACCCGACAGUGCUGCACAGAUUCUUCACAUACCAGAACAGUUUAACAACCUUCAACCAGACCCAUUAGGGAAUAAAGACCAGGCAAACUCCAAGAAAACCUCUAACACUACCUAAGAGAGGGCAGACAGUAUACUGUAUCUGGACAAGUUUCUAUGUGGUCCAAGUUGUACUGAAGAAUCUCACCUUAUGAGAGUACUCUGUCUUUGGUCCAUCUUAUGUUUUGGGUCCAUUUCAUAGUAAAUUAUAAUCAAAGACAAGGGUAGGGAAUUAUAGAUUCUGGACCUGCACAUAGGGGACAACGCCUACCAUUGAUCAAACUCCAAGACUAAAGGUAACAAUGGGAACCAGCUGGCUUCAUGCGCUCAUGGCUAUGGGGCCAUGGCUUUUUAUCAUUACUGUAUAUUUUUUUUAUAUAUAUUUUAGUCAUUUAGCAGACGCUCUUAUCCAGAGCGACUUACAGUAAGUAGAGAAAGCAUACAUUUCAUUUUUUUUUUAAAUCCCGUAAUGGUCCCCCGUGGGAAUCGAACCCACAACCCUAGCAUUGCAAACACCAUGCUCUACCAACUGAGCCACACGGGACCACGUGUGGCUCAGUGUAUGUACACGUGUAUGUACACACUGCAGUGGAUCUGUCCCAACAGUGGUUUUCUUGUUUAGUUCUCACCUCAAUGAAGGCUCUAUAUAUGUGCCUCGCUUUGUACCUCUCAUCCUUUUUUAGCCAACGGCUGUGGCGCAAAUCUCAUGAGGAGUGUGUAUGGUUGGUGUCCAUAGUGUUUUGUUUUUGUACUUCAAAUAAAGUGUAUACAUCAAA
Molecule: long non-coding RNA, 4799 nt
Filed under: Salmo salar (Atlantic salmon)
Lineage: Eukaryota; Metazoa; Chordata; Actinopteri; Salmoniformes; Salmonidae
Description: lncRNA (ENSSSAG00000110811.1)
Source: RNAcentral